Molecule: long non-coding RNA, 258 nt
Organism: Priapulus caudatus
Lineage: Eukaryota; Metazoa; Priapulida; Priapulimorpha; Priapulimorphida; Priapulidae
Exons: 3
Source: RefSeq, a predicted model, not a curated record
UGGCGGUGCGGGAGGGACAUGCCGGUAAGCGUACGUGGCUGGAAGCAGCAUGAAGCUUGACCGCACAGACAUGGAGCAGCAGCCACGAAAAUACAUGGUGUUCACGAAGCUGGAAUGGUUGGUGAAGGAGAUGCAGCAUUCGGAGACGGGCAUUCCUGUCAGGUCUCAGAAGGUGCUGCUUACGUCGGUGCCCUACGCCUUCACAGGUUACGACCUGAUAGAGUGGUUGUCGGAGCGACUGGAGAUCAGUGAUCCGGG